Oryza sativa Japonica Group (Japanese rice) is the source of this 4710-nucleotide non-coding RNA. Lineage: Eukaryota; Viridiplantae; Streptophyta; Magnoliopsida; Poales; Poaceae. The record is from RefSeq and is a predicted model, not a curated record.
CCCAGCCCCAAGCCCCCAACCUGCCCGCCGCUGCCUGCUCGUCUCCUCGUCCCUCCCGUCCCCCGUCUCGCCCUCUCCCUCUCCUUCUCCCGCCUCGCGUCGCCGCCGCCGCCGCCGCCCCGCGCGCCGCCCCUCCUCCCUCUCCCUCAGCCAUCCUCCUCCUCCGCCGCCGGUCCAUUCUCCGCCCUUCACCGCCUCCGUUGCCGGCCACCACUGCCCCCGUCCACGCCUCGCGUCGCCGCCCCCAUCCCCGUCCCCGCCCCGUCGCUAGGGUUUCGUCACGAGCGACCUCCCGCCGUGGAAGCUUCCACCUUCCUCCUCAUCCUUGUCCUCACGGCCGCGGCGUUCGCGGCGUAGGCGGCGGGGGACGGGUGCAGCGCCGGAUGCGAGCUCGCGCUGGCCUCCUCAUCCUCGAGCGCCUCCACCCCAAUACUUUCUUCGUCCUCGCCUCGUCGCGUCGCUCUGUCUUCUCCCCUCCCUGCCUCUUCGGUUGAUGUCUUCAUUUCUUCCCCUUUCGUGCGAAUGGGACCAACGGCGGAUCAAGCGAGGGCGCCGCAGAUCGACUGGCGGCACAGCUUCUCCCCAUCCUUUGGUGCUGCAUUGCUGGUAUCAUCGUCGUGUUUCCCGCUGUUGGUGCGUGUCUCACGGAGAAAGAAUGGAUUGGAGUAAAUCAGCAGCGGUGUGGAUUGUGCUCUGACCUCGGCAGGGGCGGAUACAAGAACACAGCGAUGAGAUCCGGUGCGGUUUGUGGCGGACCAAGCAUGCCGGCCGAUGGAGAUGGUUCUCUGCAUCUACGCAUUCCCCACCAACAUGCCGCCCUUCAGGUACAAAUCAAGUCUGAUAAAACACUGCCAUCCUUCUUGUGUUACAUGUUCUGUGUUACAUGGUGGCCUCCUCCUCCACCACAGCGGCGGUGUCGGCAAACAGAUUUGAGAGGUAAAAACAUCCCUUCUUGUGUUGCUUUACGGCCAUAUUUGAGAGGAGAAUGGCAUGAUGCUGCAGUUUGAUUUCACCGGCUUUCCUGCUUGCCGUAUUUGUAAUCUCAACUUUCAUUUCAAGUGAUUGUUGGGGCCAAACCUAUGGUGGCUAGUCGCUGAGGUGGUGUCAUUAAUGGAGGCAAAGAGUGGCAAGUGGUGACCAAAGCGGAAGGACCUGGUGUGUUGCGCGUGCGCCGGCCACUGGCGGUGCGAGGCCACGGCGACGGUCAUGCUGCCAUUAUCCAAGUAUGGCUGCUGACCAAUUUCUUCCCUGAAGUAGGUGAGGUUAGCCCGAUAGGAACACAUACCACCUAUAUUGUGAUAUUUGGAGCUAGGGCACAUUCAGUCCUGUUAUUUGAUCUGUAGCAUCAAGGUUGUAAAAUUAUCAGUUUUGCAGAGGAUUUUUGGUCAUCAAAUUGGAGUUGAUGAUAUUUUUUGAGACACUGAAUUAACUAAUAUCAAAUAUAUAAUCUGGAUUUCCCUUCAACUCAAAGCUUGUUGUUGUCUUGUUGUCUGCGUGCAUGCUGGGGUGGCUCUUCUGCGGGCGAUCAAAAGGGCAGUGACAGCAUGUAUUGACGAACGCAAUGUGCUUGCUGGCCGAAUAGACAUGAACACAUAUCACUGAGAGGGAGUGAAACAGUGUUGACGAGUAGCCUGCUUUUGGGUGAUAGAAAUAGCAUUGUAGUAGGGUGGUAAUAGCAAGAAGCCGAAAGGUAAGGAUCAGGCUAUAACGUUGGGGCAUUGGCAACUCAAUUAAAAGGUAAGUAUCUAUUGGUCACAGAGCUUGACAACUUUGAAUCUUUGAUGAUCGUAUUGUACCAUUGUUUCAGUUGUAGUGGCCAUUGUUCCUGUUAAAUGCAAGUUGAUACUAAUAAACCCAUUGAAUAGAGGCCUUCAUAUAAUUCAAUGUUUAAGAGAAACCAACCGUGGACUGGAGCUCUCAGAUUAGUUUAUUCAAGCCACUUUUUUCUAGCAUGCAAUUAUUUCGUGGCUUAUUGCAUUCCCUAUAAUUUUCAUUGACUUAGAGGAGGUUUGGGGCUUUUUAUUUUUAAUGAGGUGCAACAAUCUGUCCAUCUCACUCGUUGGUGCAAUUACAUUUUUUGCUUGAUUUUCUUCACUGCUUUAUGACGACUGAGAUAAAAACUUAUCUGUGCAGCUUCAUGUUUCUGAUGCAGGGGUAGGGUAGUUGUCUGGUUGUUCAUGUUCUGAUUUAACUCAUUAGUGUUGUGCUAAAUGGAAGGUCAAGCUGCUCUACAUGCAGGCAAGAACAGACAAGCCUGAAAAUUUUUGUGGCAAAUUCUUAGCUCAACCUGAAAUUCCGAAGCUGAAAUCUGUAUUCAGUCUUCAACUCUAUGCUCCGACGACGCUGGCGCCGGCUCACGACUUCUGGCUGCUGCGGUACACCUCCAUUCUCGGUGAUGGAAGCUUAGUGGUGUGUGAGAGAUCACUCAGUAGCAAGCAAGGAGGCCCAAGCAUGCCACUUGUCCAGCCUUUUAUCAGAGAUGAGAUGCUUCCCAGUGGGUUCUUGAUCCGACCUAGCGAUGGUGGAGGCAGCGUGAUACACAUCGUUGAUCAUAUGGACCUGGAGCCUUGGAGCGUGCCUGAAGUUGUGCGACCUCUGUAUGAAUCUUCUGCCUUGGUUGCGCAGAAGAUAUCGAUGGCGUCUUUACGCUGCCUGAGGCAGGUUGCCUACAAAGAUACCCGUUCUGUGAUCACAGGAUGGGGAAGGAAGCUUGCGGCUUUGCAUGCUCUGAGCCAAAAACUUUUCAGAGGCUUCAAUGAAGUUCUCAAUGGGCUUGCGGAUGAUGGAUGGUCCGUGAUCGAGAGCGAUGGCAUCGACGAUGUUUGCAUCUCUGUCAAUUCAUCCAAAGUGACCGGUUGCAAUGCAACAUUCAGCAGUGGACUCACUAUUGUCAGUACCGGUGUUCUUUGUGCCAAGGCAUCCAUGCUGUUGCAGGAUGUCUCUCCUCCAUCACUACUGCAAUUUUUGCGCGAACACCAGUCACAAUGGGCUGACGAUGAAACCAAACUUCUGCAAUUUACCCAUGUCUCGUCUUGGAGGAUUCAGUGGUCAGGUCAUACUUCCUUUAGCACACACUUUUGAACCUGCAGAGUUCCUGGAAGUUAUCAAGCUAGGAAACACCAGAAACUACCAAGAUACACUGGUGCACCGUGAUCUGUUCCUCUUGCAGAUGUACAAUGGAGUAGAGGAGAGCAGUGCAGGAACAUGUUCAGAGCUAAUCUUUGCACCCAUCGAUGCAUCGUUCAGUGAUGAUUCUCCGCUGCUGCCUUCCGGUUUCUACAUCAUCCCUAUCGAUUCUCCUCUGUAAGACACAUCUAGCUCGAACUGCAUGCUAGAUCUCGCUUCCAUGCUCGAAGCAGCGACGCCAUGGAGCAGGAUCAGCGGCAUCAAUAGCAGCGGCGAGCUCCAAGGCGGUGAUGACGAUCGCGUUCCAGUUCGCGUUCGAGAGCCACCUGCAGGGCAGCGUGCCCGCCAUGGCGCAGCAGUACAUGUGCAGCAUCAUCUCAUCGGUGCAGAGGAUUGCCGUGGUGCUCUCAUCCUCCCGCCUCGUCCCUCCCGGCGUUGCCGCCGCCACGCAGCACGCGCCGGCGACUCGGUGCUGCCCAGAUGGAUUUGCCAGAGCUAUAGAUUUCAUUUUGGAGCUGAACUCAUCAAAUCUGCAGAUGCCAACAGCAGCAGUGAAUCGGUUCUGAAAGCAGUUUGGCAUCAUCCCAGUGCCAUACUCUACUGCUCUCUCAAGGUGAUGCCAGUGUUCACGUUUGCAAACCGAAGACGGAGGCGGCGCCAGGCACAAGAUGGCGGAGGAGGUGAACAAAUCUAUGAUCAUCAGGAAAAUCAAUCAAAUUUAUGUUACCUAAUCUAUCCAACAAGUGAACAAAUUGGAGGCAGCUAAGACUACAUAAGAAAUUGAAAAGCACGGCCAUACUCUUUUGACUAAGUUUCGAAGUCAGGCUUGCAAGGAUAGACUAAAGCUCUUAUAUCAGUCUUUCUUCUCUUAGCAAAUUCUCAUUGCUAGAUCUCAGAUCAUCUUGCAAACCUCUUAUAUCAUUUAUAUCAUUUUCCAUAUGCAAAUCUGUGGUUCAUCUCUAAAUUGUAAUGACUGGGUAAGCUCUCUGGUCCUCCCAUGUCCUUGACAAUAACAGUAAUAUCCUUCAACUUUUCAACUUAUCUUCAUUCUCACAGGUAAGUCUUGUAAUUCAUCUUCUAUUUGUGCUAGCCUUGAUGUUAAGUCUGCAUUUAUAACGGUACUCUCUUGAGUUUCUAAACUAACUUCAUCAAUGGAUUAUUUGACAGGUGAUGCCUGGUAAGUCUUGUAAUUCAUCACAGGUAAGUCUUGUAAUUCAUCUUCUAUUUGCUGCACUGGUGAUGCCUACAAAGAGCUCACUGCGACGAACUUCAUCAACUCAAUUCUGAAGGUCGACCAAAACAAGCAAGAUUAUCUGACGAUACAAAAUCAUUAGAAAGAUCUAAAUUAUGUGUAUUUGCAAUCCGGUGUGCGUUUGUGCAGGGGUCAGGCAUGAGAGAGGAUAUUGUGUGUAGGUGAUCGAUGGAUGCUAUGAACUACCUCUGCAGUUAGAAAUGUGUUAGAUCUUGUCUCUGCAAAGAUGAACACCUUUUCUUACUUGUUCAACUCGAUCAGCAUGCAGUAUCCUGUUCAAUUUUUUUCCCCUUCAGCCAUUCAGAAAUUCAGAAGUGGCUAUCAUGCUUUAA